GACGAACGCUGGCGGCGUGCUUAACACAUGCAAGUCGAACGAAGAGCGAUGGAAGCUUGCUUCUAUCAAUCUUAGUGGCGAACGGGUGAGUAACGCGUAAUCAACCUGCCCUUCAGAGGGGGACAACAGUUGGAAACGACUUCUAAUACCGCAUACGAUCUAAUCUCGGCAUCGAGGAUAGAUGAAAGGUGGCCUCUACAUGUAAGCUAUCACUGAAGGAGGGGAUUGCGUCUGAUUAGCUAGUUGGAGGGGUAACGGCCCACCAAGGCGAUGAUCAGUAGCCGGACUGAGAGGAUGAACGGCCACAUUGGGACUGGGACACGGCCCAGACUCCUACGGGAGGCAGCAGUGGGGAAUCUUCCGCAAUGGACGAAAGUCUGACGGAGCAACGCCGCGUGAGUGAUGACGGCCUUCGGGUUGUAAAGCUCUGUUAAUCGGGACGAAAGGCCUUCCUGCGAAUAGGGAGAAGGAUUGACGGUACCGGAAUAGAAAGCCACGGCUAACUACGUG
This 510-nucleotide ribosomal RNA is filed under the name uncultured bacterium. RNAcentral's name for it is "partial 16S ribosomal RNA". It matches the Rfam family "Bacterial small subunit ribosomal RNA", at positions 28 to 507 of the family's 1533-position model. The record is from RNAcentral.